CAGCCUGGCGCAGGCCCGGCUCCCAGCCAGGGAUGCUCUUAGCUGCAACUUCCACCAGCGACUUCGGGCCAGCGGCUUCCUGUCCUGUGUUCGGCCUCUGUGUUCUCCUCUGUAAAAUGGGGCCGUGAGCACCUGCUCUCCCAGGAAAAGCUUGCUGUCCUCUGCUCUGUGGUAUCCCGUGGACAACCAAAGGGGGACAUCACCACUGAACCCAGAGAGCGAGGCAUCCAGUCCCCCCACUGCGGAGCUGGGCCAAGCUGGAGGGAACAGUGGCCUUUCCUGCUGACCGUGCAUGGCCCACUGGUCCCCCAGAGAAGCUGCAGAGGAAAGCCCAGGCUGGCCAGCUCUGGGGUUGCCUACAGAGUCCAGUGCCCAGUGAUGCAGGGAAUCAAGUCGCUGGGGGCUCAGGGGCCAGCUCAAGCUAAGGAACCGGCACAGAAGUGAUGAGACGGCCUAGGACUUGGGUGGGACCAGAGCUGAUGUGUGGGGAAGGAAUCUUUGGGAAGCGUGCUGGCUAGAUUGAGGACUGAGGAAAAGAUUGCAAACCAGGCUCAAAAAAAUGAUGGACAUUUGCAGAAGCUAAGGCACCAAGAACAUAGCUGUUCAGUGGGAGCUCCAGUGACCGGUAUGCCUCGCCAUCUCUCCAAACCUCAUAAUCCCAACUGGUUUACUUCAUUGGGAUUUUGUGAGAUCAAAUGAGAUCACGGAUUUGAACAUCAUCUAUAACCCUAAAUGUACUCAUGUUGCCAAUAACCAUCAACAACAGGGAAAUCUCUCUCUGCGCUAAUUGCUGUCAGCAUCCAUCAGGAUCGCCGAGAGAGCAACAUCCCAGCCAGAGGGGCCUUGGGCUGGAGCUCCAUCACCAGGAGACGGCCUCCCUGGGAAGGCCCGGGGACCGGACGCCGCUGCAUCUGCUGGGCGUCUCCACCGGGAGGUGCCAAGGAGGCGCACACAGCCCCAGCCUGGGGGGCCAGCAGGCCCACCGACCCUACCUGGGAGCCCCUGGCUCUGGGGGAGCCCUGAGCAACCACGUGGGGGGCCCGGGGCGGCUGGGCUACGGGGCACCGGCUUCCAUCAGCCUCUUAGACCAGUCCCCGUUUAUCUCCUUUAGAUCUCAGGCCAGCCCCGAGAGGUUCUGUCAAAGGGGUUCUGCUGGAUUCAAAUAGAAAGGUUUGCAACACGGACCCCUAGUCCAACCCUCACCUUUCACAGGUGAACAGACACAGCCCUGAGGCGGGGUGGGGGUGUGUGAGGAGGGAGGCACCCCAGCCAGGGUCACACCUGGGAUGUGAGGACCCCGGGUCUCCCGAGAGUGUUUCUGUUCUGUUUGUGUUUUGGAUUUCUCACACCCCAGGCCCGGGUCAUAUUCCUAAACUUGUGCAAGCGCCCACUCCCUGGGUGUCAGUCUCAGAGACGGCGCAGGAGGGAGGCUGGGGGAGGGAACCAGCCUCCCCAGGGGCAGGGCAGCACGCGCUUGCAGGGCGACGUCCUUGGGAACGUGACGUGUAUAGUUAUUUAGUGAGUAUUUACCAAUCGCACAUCAGGUGCUGAGGGUACAGGACAGGACGAAACGAGGCGCAGGUCCUGCUCCGCGAGGGCUCGUGUCCAGGUGGGGAGGGUGAGGAAGCAGAGACGUGAACCUAGAAAGGAUACGGUUAUGGCUUAGUCUCGGGCAGCCAGAGGCAGACUACUGUGGCGGGGUGCGAUGGAGGCCAGGGCGGGGGUGUCUGAGCCGGGCCCCGGGAGGGGAAGUCGGGUGGUUCAAGGCCUGGGACAGAGGCCUCGGCAGCCCCUGGGGGAGCGUGCGGAGUCCACUGGUCUCUGCCUUCUAUGAUCGGAUUGUGGGAUCCGAACGGCAUCCUUUCUGCACCUGCUUCUGCCUUUCGUUUCCCCCUGUUUCCGUGGGGGGCGCUCCCCGCUUGGGUCAGAGGGUGCACUUCCACUGGGGUCGCGGUCACGGGACUUUACUCCUGUAUUCGGGUGACGGGUUUUCUAGUUUCUUCCACCCCUUCCUCGUCUGCGCUGGCUUCCAUGCUGUCUUCUGCUCUCCUUGGCGGGGUCCCUUCCCGUGUCCCUUCACUUGCUCGCCUCCCAUCUCCUCUGCUGUCUAUUCCCUUUGGGGGGAAGCCCCCCCUUCACCCUUGGCAGCUGCCUUGUCAGUCACCAUCGGCCUCCAGGCGGGCCCGGGGUGUCUCCCCUGCAUGUCCCUUUCUUUCUUAGGGACCAGCAGCCACACGGCUGGUUACUUGGGCUCCUUGAAGCUACUCUGGCUUCACUCCCACAACACUCUCCCGCUCUUCCCCCUCCGUCCCAGACUGUUCCCACUCCCUGUCCUCUGCUGGGUCCCCUCCCCUGCCCUGGGUCUAACUGUCCGACCACCCCAGGGCUCCAUGCUGGGUCCUCUUUCUUCCAUACCUACGCACUCUCCUUACGUGACCUCAUCACUUCCAUGGCUUUAAAUACCGUCCUCAUGAUAAUGACUUCCAAAUUUGUAUCUCCAGCACUAACAUCCUGACGCUGCACACUCAUACAUCCCGCUACUUGACAUCUCCACUUAGAUGACUAAUGGGCACCUCAGCUCAAUACGGCAGAAAGUCUCACUUUUCCACCUUAGCCCCAGAGCUGCUCCCCUCUCACUUCCCGUCAUUUUGGUGAAUGUCACCACCUUCUCCUGGUUGCUUGAGCCCAGGGCCCGGGAAUCACGUUCGGUUCAUCUGAGCACCCAGCCCACACGUGAGGCAGGCGGGCGCCCUCCUCAAGAGAGAUCCUGAGCCUGCCUGCUUCCCUCCAUCUCCCUGCUGCCACAAGGCCCCCAACCUCAAUCCCAGCCCUGACCCCACCAGCUCCCUUCGCUCCACUGGUCUCCAUCCUGCUUCUAUCACUUUGUAGGAUCUGAUCUCUUCUUUACAUGGCACCUGCGCCCUCUUUAGAAAAAUGGAACUCAGAUCUCAUCACUCACCAACUGAAGGACCUUUAAAAUCCCCAAUUGCACCAGCAUUUAAAUGAUUUGCUACACUUACCAAGUCUCCAGCUGAGCUGCCCCCCCCCACCUCUGCCUCUGACUUCAUCCCGCGUGGCACUUGCCUUCUCUCACAUAUUGCUCACU
This is a long non-coding RNA of Canis lupus familiaris (dog), 3106 nucleotides long. RefSeq lists it as uncharacterized. The transcript has 5 exons. The record is from RefSeq and is a predicted model, not a curated record. Lineage: Eukaryota; Metazoa; Chordata; Mammalia; Carnivora; Canidae.